Molecule: ribosomal RNA, 422 nt
Filed under: uncultured bacterium
Lineage: Bacteria
Description: partial 16S ribosomal RNA
Rfam family: Bacterial small subunit ribosomal RNA
Source: RNAcentral
AAUCUUCCACAAUGGGCGAAAGCCUGAUGGAGCAACGCUGCGUGAGUGAAGAAGGUUUUCGGAUCGUCCCACUCUGUUGUAAGGGAAGAACAAGUACAGUAGUAACUGGCUGUACCUUGACGGUACCUUAUUAGAAAGCCACGGCCAACUACGUGCCCGCAGCCGCGGUAAUACGUAGGUGGCAAGCGUUGUCCGGAAUUAUUGGGCGUAAAGCGCGCGCAGGCGGUCCUUUAAGUCUGAUGUGAAAGCCCACGGCUCAACCGUGGAGGGUCAUUGGAAACUGGGGGACUUGAGAGCAGAAGAGGAAAGUGGAAUUCCAAGUGUAGAGGUGAAAUGCGUAGAGAUUUGGAGGAACACCAGUGGCGAAGGCGACUUUCUGGUCUGUAACUGACGCUGAGGCGCGAAAGCGUGGGGAGCAAACA